CAGUCGCCGCGGGAAUACAGAGGGUGCGAGCGUUAAUCGGAUUUACUGGGCGUAAAGCGUGCGUAGGCGGCUUCUUAAGUCGGAUGUGAAAUCCCUGAGCUUAACUUAGGAAUUGCAUUCGAUACUGGGAAGCUAGAGUAUGGGAGAGGAUGGUAGAAUUCCAGGUGUAGCGGUGAAAUGCGUAGAGAUCUGGAGGAAUACCGAUGGCGAAGGCAGCCAUCUGGCCUAAUACUGACGCUGAGGUACGAAAGCAUGGGAAGCAAACAGGAUUAGAUACCCCUGUAGUCCCUGUCUCUUAUAC
This 301-nucleotide ribosomal RNA is filed under the name uncultured bacterium. RNAcentral describes it as "partial 16S ribosomal RNA". It matches the Rfam family "Bacterial small subunit ribosomal RNA", at positions 509 to 807 of the family's 1533-position model. The record is from RNAcentral.